This 506-nucleotide ribosomal RNA is filed under the name uncultured bacterium. Its description in RNAcentral is "partial 16S ribosomal RNA". It matches the Rfam family "Bacterial small subunit ribosomal RNA", at positions 29 to 523 of the family's 1533-position model. The record is from RNAcentral.
AACGAACGCUGGCGGCAGGCCUAACACAUGCAAGUCGAACGGCAGCACAGGGGAGCUUGCUCCCUGGGUGGCGAGUGGCGGACGGGUGAGGAAUACAUCGGAAUCUACCCUUUCGUGGGGGAUAACGGAGGGAAACUUACGCUAAUACCGCAUACGAUCUGAGGAUGACAGCAGGGGACCGCAAGGCCUUGCGCGAUUGGAUGAGCCGAUGUCCGAUUAGCUAGUUGGCGGGGUAAAGGCCCACCAAGACGACGAUCGGUAGCUGGUCUGAGAGGCUAAUCAGCGACACUGCAACUGAGCCAAGGUCCAGCAUCCUACGGGAGGCAGGAGUGGAGAGUAUUGGACAGUGGGAGCAAGCCUGCACCAGCCAUGCCGCGUGUGUGAAGAGGGCCUUCGGGUUGUGAAGCGCUUUUGUUGGGAAAGAAAUCCUGUCGGCUAGUACCCGGCGGGGAUGACGGUACCCAAAGAAUAAGCACCGGCUAACUUCGUGCCAGCCGCCGCCGUAA